RNAcentral lists this ribosomal RNA (301 nucleotides) under uncultured bacterium. RNAcentral's name for it is "partial 16S ribosomal RNA". It matches the Rfam family "Bacterial small subunit ribosomal RNA", at positions 509 to 807 of the family's 1533-position model. The record is from RNAcentral.
CAGUAGCCGCGGUAAUACGGAGGGGGCUAGCGUUGUUCGGAAUUACUGGGCGUAAAGCGUACGUAGGCGGCUUUGUAAGUUAGAGGUGAAAGCCUGGAGCUCAACUCCAGAAUUGCCUUUAAGACUGCAUCGCUUGAACGUCGGAGAGGUGAGUGGAAUUCCGAGUGUAGAGGUGAAAUUCGUAGAUAUUCGGAAGAACACCAGUGGCGAAGGCGGCUCACUGGACGACUGUUGACGCUGAGGUACGAAAGCGUGGGGAGCAAACAGGAUUAGAUACCCGGGUAGUCCCUGUCUCUUAUAC